This 253-nucleotide ribosomal RNA is filed under the name uncultured bacterium. Its description in RNAcentral is "partial 16S ribosomal RNA". It matches the Rfam family "Bacterial small subunit ribosomal RNA", at positions 524 to 776 of the family's 1533-position model. The record is from RNAcentral.
UACGGAGGGUGCAAGCGUUAUCCGGAUUCACUGGGUUUAAAGGGUGCGUAGGUGGGCAGGUAAGUCCGUGGUGAAAUCUCUGAGCUUAACUCAGAAACUGCCGUGGAUACUAUCUGUCUUGAAUAUUGUGGAGGUGAGCGGAAUAUGUCAUGUAGCGGUGAAAUGCUUAGAUAUGACAUAGAACACCAAUUGCGAAGGCAGCUCACUACACAGUAAUUGACGCUGAGGCACGAAAGCGUGGGGAUCAAACAGG